Molecule: ribosomal RNA, 503 nt
Filed under: uncultured bacterium
Lineage: Bacteria
Description: partial 16S ribosomal RNA
Rfam family: Bacterial small subunit ribosomal RNA
Source: RNAcentral
ACUCAAAUGAAUUGACGGGACCCCGCACAAGCGGUGGAGCAUGUGGAUUAAUUCGAUACUAACCGAAGAACCUUACCCAGACUUGACAUCGAUGGUAAGCCUUAGAAAUAGGGCCCUCUUCCCAAAAGGAAGACCUGAAGACACUUGUUGCAUGGCUGUCGUCAGCUCGUGCCGUGAGGUGUACGGUUAAGUCCGCCAACGAGCGCAACCCUCGUUCUAUGUUACCAGCACUAAAGGUGGGAACUCAUAGGAGACUGCCCGUGUAAGCGGGAGGAAGGUGAGGAUGACGUCAAGUCAGCAUGGCAGUUACGUCUGGGGCUUCACACAUGCUACAAUGGGCGAAACAAAGGGCAGCGAUACCGCGAGGUGGAGCCAAUCCCAAAAAUACGCCCCCAGUUCAGAUUGCAGUCUGCAACUCGACUGCAUGAAGGCGGAAUCGCUAGUAAACGCAGGUCAGCUAUACUGCGUUGAAUACGUUCCCGGGGUUUGUACACACCGCCCGU